RNAcentral lists this ribosomal RNA (465 nucleotides) under uncultured bacterium. Its description in RNAcentral is "partial 16S ribosomal RNA". It matches the Rfam family "Bacterial small subunit ribosomal RNA", at positions 28 to 507 of the family's 1533-position model. The record is from RNAcentral.
GACGAACGCUGGCGGCGUGCUUAACACAUGCAAGUCGUACGGUAAGGCCCUUUCGGGGGUACACGAGUGGCGAACGGGUGCGUAACACGUGAGUAACCUGCCCACAACUUUGGGAUAACGCUAGGAAACUGGUGCUAAUACUGGAUAUGUGCUCCUGCUGCAUGGUGGGGGUUGGAAAGCUCCGGCGGUUGUGGAUGGACUCGCGGCCUAUCAGCUUGUUGGUGGGGUAGUGGCCUACCAAGGCGGGGACGGGUAGCCGGCCUGAGAGGGUGACCGGCCACAUUGGGACUGAGAUACGGCCAAGACUCCUACGGGAGGCAGCAGUGGGGAAUAUUGCACAAUGGGCGCAAGCCUGAUGCAGCAACGCCGCGUGCGGGAUGACGGCCUUCGGGUUGGAAACCGCUUUCAGCAGGGACGAAGCUUUUUGUGACGGUACCUGCAGAAGAAGCACCGGCUAACUACGUG